This 388-nucleotide long non-coding RNA is filed under the name Olea europaea (common olive). RNAcentral's name for it is "long non-coding RNA (OEUR_LNC005886)". Lineage: Eukaryota; Viridiplantae; Streptophyta; Magnoliopsida; Lamiales; Oleaceae. The record is from RNAcentral.
UUCAAGUCGCCCAAAGUCUUAACAAACAUAAAGCGUCGCGCUUAUCAAGAAGUGCAGUUAGCAAAGCAAUUAUUAGAGCAGCCCUAUCACGUUCCACGAUUCAAGGAAUUCAAUCGAAAGCGGUUGAACGAUGAAGAGUAAUGGUAGCAGUUAAAGGAGGUAGUUUUCGUGACAAGUUGGCCAUUAAGAAGAAAGUGGGCAGUUAUAGGACGAUCAAGCAGUUUUUAGGGCAGUUGAUCACAAAGAGAUCGUCCAUGAAGUAUAAAAGGAAGAAAGGACAUAGAAGCAAAAGACCGAAUCCAAAACUCUCGAACAGAGAACAUGUAAUUUUCAUUUCCUUAGUUUUUAGAUUUAAACACUUUUCUUUCAGUAACUCGUGUGCUUGCGC